ACACUGGUACUGAGACACGGACCAGACUCCUACGGGAGGCAGCAGUGAGGAAUAUUGGCCAAUGGGCGCAAGCCUGAUCCAACCAAGCCGCGUGCAGGAAGACGGCCCUAUGGGUUGUAAACUGCGUUUGUACGGGAAGAAACACCCCUUCGUGAAGGGACUUGACGGUACCGUAUGAAUAAGGAUCGGCCAACUCCGUGCCAGCAGCCGCGGUAAUACGGA
Molecule: ribosomal RNA, 222 nt
Filed under: uncultured Flavobacterium sp.
Lineage: Bacteria; Pseudomonadati; Bacteroidota; Flavobacteriia; Flavobacteriales; Flavobacteriaceae
Description: partial 16S ribosomal RNA
Rfam family: Bacterial small subunit ribosomal RNA
Source: RNAcentral